This 300-nucleotide small nuclear RNA is filed under the name Castor canadensis (American beaver). RNAcentral describes it as "7SK RNA (ENSCCNG00000011427.1)". It matches the Rfam family "7SK RNA". Rfam says of the family: 7SK was discovered as an abundant small nuclear RNA in the mid-70s but a possible function has only recently been suggested. Two independent studies have found that 7SK RNA binds the CDK9/cyclin T complex (known as elongation factor P-TEFb). P-TEFb activates transcription by phosphorylating the C-terminal domain of RNA polymerase II. Lineage: Eukaryota; Metazoa; Chordata; Mammalia; Rodentia; Castoridae. The record is from RNAcentral.
GGCUGCUGGAGGAAGAGCCAAACCCUGCUCAAAAUCAAGAUGCUCCCACCAGUGUCCCCUUCCUUCCUCACCGCUCCACGUGCAUCCCUCCCAAAGCAAGCCGUGCGCUCAGGCUAAGAGGACGACCGCCCCUGGUAGAGGAGGACUGUUCUUCGGUCAAGGGUAUAGGAGUAGCUGCGCUCCCCUGCUAGAACCUCCAAACAAGCUCUGAAGAUGCUCCCACCAAUAAGGCAGUUAGGUCUCAUGGGAGGGAGGGGCAGGAAAUCUGUCUGCACUGCAGACAAAUUGUAUUGGAAACUA